This 389-nucleotide ribosomal RNA is filed under the name Helicobacter pylori. RNAcentral's name for it is "bacterial SSU rRNA". It matches the Rfam family "Bacterial small subunit ribosomal RNA", at positions 1030 to 1419 of the family's 1533-position model. The record is from RNAcentral. Lineage: Bacteria; Pseudomonadati; Campylobacterota; Epsilonproteobacteria; Campylobacterales; Helicobacteraceae.
GUGUACAGGUGGUGCAUGGUUGUCGUCAGCUCGUGUCGUGAGAUGUUGGGUUAAGUCCCGCAACGAGCGCAACCCUUGUCUUAUGUUGCCAGCAUUUGGUUGGGGACUCAUGAGAGACUGCCGGGGUCAACUCGGAGGAAGGUGGGGAUGACGUCAAAUCAUCAUGCCCCUUAUGUCCAGGGCUUCACACAUGCUACAAUGGUCGGUACAACGCGCAGCGACACUGUGAGGUGGAGCGAAUCGCUGAAAGCCGGCCUUAGUUCGGAUUGGGGUCUGCAACUCGACCCCAUGAAGUCGGAGUCGCUAGUAAUCGCAGAUCAGCAAUGCUGCGGUGAAUACGUUCCCGGGCCUUGUACACACCGCCCGUCACGUCAUGAAAGUUGGUAACA